UCGAAAACCCCUUCCUGGGGUUUUCAGCCAGAAACGCCCGGCCUCCGUAGCACGGAUCUGCCGGGCGUUUUUUUGCCUGCA
This 81-nucleotide small RNA is filed under the name Pseudomonas chlororaphis O6. RNAcentral's name for it is "suhB". The record is from RNAcentral. Lineage: Bacteria; Pseudomonadati; Pseudomonadota; Gammaproteobacteria; Pseudomonadales; Pseudomonadaceae.